This 283-nucleotide long non-coding RNA is filed under the name Brassica napus (rape). RNAcentral describes it as "long non-coding RNA (BNAP_LNC010441)". Lineage: Eukaryota; Viridiplantae; Streptophyta; Magnoliopsida; Brassicales; Brassicaceae. The record is from RNAcentral.
UAGCCUCCAUUUAUCUCUCUCUCUCUUUUUCCUAUUCCUCUGGUCUUUCUUCUUCUUCAUUUGAUCGUGAAAUUCUCAGCCUCCUCCAUUUAUUUUAUGAAAUUCACCUAAAUUAGCCUAUCAAAAUUACAGAAAUUGACAACAAAGAUUAAGUAAACAGUCUAUAAGAUUACAUCGUAAUCCUCAAUCCUUCUCCAACGCGAUGCUCCUCACGGAGAAUCUUUGACCAGUCCGGCGCGUUUAUCGGGAGCGACGUCGCGGAGACGCCGGCGCAUGAGGACGA